This 385-nucleotide ribosomal RNA is filed under the name uncultured Dorea sp. RNAcentral's name for it is "bacterial SSU rRNA". It matches the Rfam family "Bacterial small subunit ribosomal RNA", at positions 354 to 755 of the family's 1533-position model. Lineage: Bacteria; Bacillati; Bacillota; Clostridia; Lachnospirales; Lachnospiraceae. The record is from RNAcentral.
UGGGGGAAUAUUGCACAAUGGAGGAAACUCUGAUGCAGCAACGCCGCGUGAGUGAAGAAGUAUCUCGGUAUGUAAAGCUCUAUCAGCAGGGAAGAAAAUGACGGUACCUGACUAAGAAGCCCCGGCUAACUACGUGCCAGCAGCCGCGGUAAUACGUAGGGGGGCAAGCGUUAUCCGGAUUUACUGGGUGUAAAGGGAGCGUAGACGGCUUUGCAAGCCAGAUGUGAAAGCCCGGGGCUCAACCCCGGGACUGCAUUUGGAACUGUAAUGCUAGAGUGUCGGAGAGGCAAGUGGAAUUCCUAGUGUAGCGGUGAAAUGCGUAGAUAUUAGGAGGAACACCAGUGGCGAAGGCGGCUUGCUGGACGAUGACUGACGUUGAGGCUCG